GAUGAAGAACGCAGCGAAAUGCGAUAAGUAAUGUGAAUUGCAGAAUUCAGUGAAUCAUCGAAUCUUUGAACGCAUCUUGCGCUCCUUGGUAUUCUGAGGAGCAUGCCUGUUUGAGUGUCAUUAAAUUCUCAACUACACUGACUUUGAAUUGGUGUGGCUUGGAUUUGGGGGGGAAAAUUGUUGUGGGCUUUUUGUAUAGUCUGCUCCCCUGAAAUUGAUUAGCGGUACCUUUGUGGAACUGUCUACAGGUGUGAUAAUUAUCUACAUCUUAGACAUCUGCUGGAAUGCUGCUUUCUAAACCUUACUUGUAUUGACAAUCUUGACCUCAAAUCAGGUAGGACUACCCGCUGAACUUAAGCAUAUCAAUAAGCGGAGGA
This 377-nucleotide unclassified non-coding RNA is filed under the name soil metagenome. Its description in RNAcentral is "partial contains 5.8S ribosomal RNA, internal transcribed spacer 2, and large subunit ribosomal RNA". The stretch from base 1 to 120 matches the Rfam family "5.8S ribosomal RNA", at positions 35 to 154 of the family's 154-position model. The record is from RNAcentral.